CAGAACAGACCAGCUUUUAUGCUUCAACGUCACUCAAAUCACAGUGCCGUUGGAAAAUAACAGCUUUUAUCCUCCAACGUCACUCAAAUGACAGUGCCCUUGAUUUCUGCUUUUUAGUUGAUUUCUGCUAUUUUUAUAAAAGUACCGUUGAUUACUGCUUUUUUAAUAAAACUACCGUUGAUUUGAUUAAUAUAUAUACAGGUGCCAUUUGAUCAUUUAAUUUGUAUUUUCUGGUUUUCCUUUUUUCCUGUGAUUUUGAGUCUUCUUUUUCUUGUUUCCUUUGGCAUGGCCAUGCCUUUUGUUCUUCAUUUUUCCUUGUGUUUGUGACUACUUCUUCUGUUCUUGUGUUCUGUAUUUGAUAUCUGCAUUUUAUUUGUAUGUUGUAUUUUAUUUGAGGUUGAGGAGGGUUUGGCGAGCAGGAGAAGGGCGAGAGAGGAUUCAGCUAUUUGCAACAUGAUGCAGGCCAAAAUUCCAACUAAAAUUAUUCUAGAUGCAUUCAAGGAGUUAGAAGCAGCCAAUAGUGAAACAGUAGAAAGAGCCUGAUUACCAUUCAAGAUUCUCAAAGGUUUAAAGAAAGUUUUCUAUUGCAACGGUACUGUAGUCAGUAGUGUAGGAUCAAGAGCUGUGGUGGGUAUAUCAUGGAUUAGCAUUCUGAAAUCUUAGUUCGUUAUCUUUAUUUGAAUGACUUAUCCAGGAGUCUUUUGAUUA
Molecule: long non-coding RNA, 708 nt
Organism: Cryptomeria japonica (Japanese cedar)
Lineage: Eukaryota; Viridiplantae; Streptophyta; Pinopsida; Cupressales; Cupressaceae
Exons: 2
Source: RefSeq, a predicted model, not a curated record